UGGUGGAGUGAUUUGUCUGCUUAAUUGCGAUAACGAACGAGACCUUAACCUGCUAAAUAGCCAGGCCGGCUUUUGCUGGUCGCCGGCUUCUUAGAGGGACUAUCGGCUCAAGCCGAUGGAAGUUUGAGGCAAUAACA
Molecule: ribosomal RNA, 137 nt
Filed under: uncultured eukaryote
Lineage: Eukaryota
Description: partial 18S ribosomal RNA
Rfam family: Eukaryotic small subunit ribosomal RNA
Source: RNAcentral